This 253-nucleotide ribosomal RNA is filed under the name uncultured bacterium. Its description in RNAcentral is "partial 16S ribosomal RNA". It matches the Rfam family "Bacterial small subunit ribosomal RNA", at positions 524 to 776 of the family's 1533-position model. The record is from RNAcentral.
UACAGGGGGCUCGAGCGUUAGUCGGAAUCACUGGGCUUAAAGGGUGCGUAGGCGGCUCGCCAAGUGCUUUGUGAAAUCCCAUGGCUCAACCAUGGAACAGCAGGGCAAACUGGCGAGCUUGAAGCAGGUAGGGGCUGGAAGAACAGUUGGUGGAGCGGUGAAAUGCGUAGAUAUCAACUGGAAUGCCGAUGGGGAAGCCGUCCAGCUGGGCCUGUCUUGACGCUGAGGCACGAAAGCGUGGGGAGCAAACAGG